UACGGGAGGCAGCAGUGGGGAAUAUUGCACAAUGGGCGCAAGCCUGAUGCAGCCAUGCCGCGUGUAUGAAGAAGGCCUUCGGGUUGUAAAGUACUUUCAGUCGUGAGGAAGGUGUUAAGGUUAAUAACCUUAGCAAUUGACGUUAGCGACAGAAGAAGCACCGGCUAACUCCGUGCCAGCAGCCGCGGUAAUACGGAGGGUGCGAGCGUUAAUCGGAAUUACUGGGCGUAAAGGGCACGCAGGCGGUUAAUUAAGUUGGAUGUGAAUCCCCGGGCUUAACCUGGGAAUGGCAUUCAAGACUGGUUAGCUAGAGUCUUGUAGAGGGGGUAGAAUUCCAUGUGUAGCGGUGAAAUGCGUAGAGAUGUGGAGGAAUACCGGUGGCGAAGGCGGCCCCUGGGACAAAGACUGACGCUCAUGUGCGAAAGCGUGGGGAGCGAAACAGGAUUAGAUACC
Molecule: ribosomal RNA, 453 nt
Filed under: uncultured bacterium
Lineage: Bacteria
Description: bacterial SSU rRNA
Rfam family: Bacterial small subunit ribosomal RNA
Source: RNAcentral